GAGACACUGAGAUGCAGCGGGAGUGAGAGAAAAUAAAAGAGAUUGCAGUGAUAGAAGAUGCAGAAUACACAGACACUGCAAGAGUAAAAGGGAUGGGAUCCUUACUCCUCCUCUUAGUAAUCGCAAGGGAUCAACGUGUUCCAUGUGAUCAAAGAAAGGUGAAACUUCUGUGACAACAAGAUGAAAACAGGUUUGCACUGCAUCCUGUGGGAUAUUAGAAUGAGCUGCCAAGAAGCUAGAAGACAGGUCUUUCUAGACAAAAUAUCUAGACCAUGGAGCAUAUGGCAGCCUCCAAGGAAGACAACAUGUCUCAGUCUGCUGGAGAACUCUUCCCUUGCAGGCGACUUCUUUGGGAGAUGAAGGGAGAUGCCAGGGAUUUGGAUAACGUUCACUCAUCUCAGUCUUGGGGAAAAAUCUAGAUGGGCUGAUACGUGUUUGAGGACAUUGUGGAUGACCUCCAGGGGGACCGAACUCAUCAGAAAUCAGGUAUUAAAGGGCCGCUUCACCACUCCUGUCCCAUGUGAGAAAUGCAGGCAGAAAAUAAUUUUCCACGUAUCCGGACACACUUGUUCUUCAUCCAGAUGUCUUUCAUUACCAAGAUAAUUCUCUGAACAUGUGCAACAGUGCCUGGAAAUGCAACCUGAAAUUGGAAGAAAAUAUCAAGUUUUUAAAAGAUAUUUUUAUUUUAUUUUAUGAGUUUUUAAUGAACUGUACUGUGCUUGACAACAAAUGAAUACAGAGACUUUUAUCAGCUAUUUACCUAGCAUAUGUUUGCACAUUUAGCUUUCACAUUAGAGUCAUGCUUCCUAAUAGAUAGGUACAGAACUGUAACUGAACAGAAAUCCACUUUCAGGAUGUCCUUUUAAACACUCUCACUGUCCUUAGGUACACUGAACUUUUAAAGUAAAAUAAAAUAAAAAAGAUGAUCAGUAGCAGCACCAUCUCUAAGAUAGGAAUAGAGACUUUAAUAGCACUAAUUAUGUGCACGUAAACUGACAAAAUAUCCUGCUAAAUGAACGUGUAGGUGUCCACCUUAGAGUGUGAGCAGUUAAUUGCCUUCAUCACAGUUGGAGUAAUUGCACAGAUAUAUUUGUGUAUGGGUGUAAGGGUAUGUUUCACGCAUAAUAAUUGAAUCGACAUCUCUUACUUAUUUGCUUUCAGAGAUUUUGAUACACACUGCAGCACUGGGUAAGUCCUCUGCUGUAGCUCUUCCCCUCCUCUAUGUUAGAGCAUCCAUGCAGAAAUGUUUGAAAGAAUCAGUGUGGCCAUUGCUUGUCAGAGUCUCAAGUCUCAGAGUCUUGAGCUGUUAGCUAAGAACAUGCCAGAGCUGGAAACAUCUUCUUAAGACAGAAAUUUAACUAAGUUUAACUCAGUUGAUUUUCACCUAGAACAAAAAUGACUAUACCAGAGAUUCAAAAAGACAACCCUAACAGCCUUCAAAGUGAAACCAUUUGCUCUAACUGGAUAGACAAAAACUAACAAACAAAAACAAGCAAACAAAAAAAACAAAACAAAACCCUGCCAAUAUACUGCAUCUUGGUUUCAGAUUAAAUUCUUUGCAUUUGGUAAAAUAAAUCUAGCCUUUUUAAGUUAGAAAAUAUAUAUGUAUAUAAAUAUUUACAAAGGCUGCUCAGAAAGUAAUGCCUUCUAUUUUAUUAUGUUGGCCCAUGAAGUCAGAGGUGGAUGUUGGUGGGAAGGCAGUAGAGAUUGAACCUUCCUGCCAAUAUUCUGUUACUUCUUAUUGCCAUGCAACAGAUGACAGCAGAGGGGCAGUCUGACAAAAGGAUAUCUAACAUGGAAGUGUGUAUACAGUAAAGGUGUGUCACUGAAUUCCUCCAUGCGGAAGAACUGGCACCCACUGACAUUCAUCAAUGCUUGAGGAAUAUUUAUAGGGAACAAACAGUGGAUGUGAGCACAGUGAUGCAGUGUGUGAUGCGUUUCAGCAGUGGUGACAUUGAUGGGAAAGGUAAGCCACAUUCCAGAUGACCAUGCACAACUGUCAGAACACCAAAUGAAGAGCAUCUCAAUCAGCUCACUUGCACUAAUUGGCAGAUUAUGAUCAAGGAACUGUAUAUAGAGCUCAAUAUCAGGUUCAAUGCAUUUGAAACAAUGGUGGUAAUGUUGGAAUAUUGCUAAGUUUGAGCUAGGAGGGUCCCACGAAUUCUCACACAAGGAACAGAAAGAACACUGUGUCCAAGUUUGUUAAGAUCUAUUGGACUAAUACGACGCUGAAGGUGACAGUCUCUUGCAUCACAUCAUUACUGGUGACAAGAUCCGAACUCAAAACAGCAGUCUCUGGAGUGGUGAUAUGUGAAUUCCACAUGAAAGAAGAUGUUCAAGACAGCUCUCAGCAGAUAAGUGAUUGGGAUAGGGGUGAUUUUCUGAAUUUACUAGAACCCAAACAAACCUUCAACUCUGACUGCUACGUUGCAAUCCUGACUAAGCUAAAGUCUUGAACUUUCAGAAUUAGGCCAGAGAAGAAGAGAAGACAACUUCUCUCUUGCAAUGUGAUAACACCAGGUGCUAUAUCACUUUGUAGACCAUGGAGUAUAUUGCCAAUCUUGGCUGUCCUAUCCCACACACCACGUAGCCUAGAUUUGACACCUUCUGGCUUCCAUCUGUUUGGGCCAGUCAAAGAUGGACUGUGUGGGCAACAUUUUCCCAGCAAUACACCAUCAUAGCAGCUGUGAAAAAGUGGGUUACUUCUGCUGGUGCAGAUUUUUAUAAGUGCGGCAUGCAAGUUCUUGUUCAUCACAGAUAAAAAUGCAUAGGUAAUGGUAGCGACUGUAUUGAAAAAUAGUGUUUUGUAGCUGAGAAUUUGUUCUAUCAAGUAGUGUUAUUGUGUUAUUUGAUGUCAUUUCCAUGAAAACAAUGGAGGCAUUACUUUUGGAGUGACCUUUGUGUGUAUGUGUAUGUAUAUAUGCGCAAAAUUAUAUGUAAAUUGAACGGUUUUGCCUUUGUGAAGCUAGGUGAAAAACACUCUAGAAGCAUAAGCCACAGGAACAGAAGCUGAAAUAAGAAUCCAUUGAAAUUCAUACCUCGAGUUUAUACGUUUUUAGAAGUGUAUUUUUCCCUUUCAGACUGGUGAGCUGAGGUCUUUAAUUGACAAAGAUGACCCAGUGCCUCACCCUUUACCCUCUAAACUUAAUUUUAAGUAAAACUCAUAUGCUUCUCUCUAGUGGUUCCUUUUUAAUUGCCUUGAAUGUCUGAACUCUGUUAAAAUGUUUGGAGUUUCCAAGUCCAGUUGUACACAGAAAAAAUUGCUAGUUUGCAAGCUGUAACUGAAGUCAGAGAUUAGGUAUUGAUCUCAAAAGAAAAUUACUAAGGAUUGUGGGAGAUCUUGCUCUGACAAGAAAGGAUGACUUUUGAGGCCUCCAAAGAUGCAAAAUUCUUUCAAUGAUGUGCAUUAGUGCUAAUCAGUAUGUGUUGCCAUGGUUCAGUAGAAGUCAGUGCUGAACUUCACAAAACUCUUUCAACCUUUUCUCUCUAACUGUAUAAAUGUGAAAGUAACAAUAAAUCUUGUUGACAAUUACUUCCACAUCUAUUGGCAGUCAGUCAGGUGCAAUGUGAACAGCAUUGUGCACAAUAUGGGUAGCACAGCCAACACCUAUUAACUAUCUCCCUAGUUUCUCCUGUGACUUACAGAACAUGUUAUUUUUCCCCAGUGAGUAGCCCUUUCAAAUGUUGAAUUAGUAAUAUUAGCACCAAAUACUACUAAUUUGUCAGCCAGGCUGUGUUUUUCCAAAGUGUUCACAAUAGGGGCUGAUAACUGCUUUGCAGUUCAGCAGAGCAAAGAUGAAAAUUCAGAAACUUUCUAAAUCAUUUGUAUAAGACUCAAAGUAGGUUUUUGUUUGUUUGUUUGUUUGUUUUUGUUUUGUAACCACUAGAAUAUUCAAUAUGUGUGUUUAAAAAAGAAAAAAAGUGGCAUUUCAGCUUCACUCAGCAAGAUACUUAACUGCAUGGUAAUAUGGAAGUAUAUAUUUAGGUUCUUUGAAGAACCAGAGCUAGAAACAUUUUUAAUAGCAUGAAAUCUUUGUUCAAAGAACACAUUGUCAGGACCACCUUUGUAUUUUCAGAUUUUAGUGGCUAGCUUAACUAAUAUUUAUGAAGAAGUAAAUCUCUCUGCUAUAAAUAACAAUUUUCUAUUGUAUAUAAUGCAUUCAUUGCUUGAACAGUUUUCAUUGACAUCAGUAUGAAACCUGUGCAAAUAAUUUUGUAGCAUAUGAAACUGAAAAUCACAAAUGGUUGAGGGUUGAUAGUGUUACUUUUCUAUUCAGUCUUCUUAUGCAAUUCUUACAAGCAAGUGCACAAAUACUUUUAUGUGAAAGCAUACAUACAGAAAUAUGUGAAAACAUAAAUAGACUGACUAUCUAAUUUUCAUGAGUUUGUAGAUAUCUACCGUUGGUAAAAGAAUGGCAUUCAUUAGUCAACAGAGAUUUGCUGUGGACAUAUGAGAAGUUCAGUCAGCCUCUUUCCUUUCAUGAUAUGUCUUGUUUUCAACUCAUGCUUGGUUAAACCCAGGAUAUGAAUGAUAAGUAAGUAACGGUCUGUUACAGAUAAAACUGUCUAUGGUUUUUUCCAUUACAAGAUUCACAAAAGGUCAGCAUUAUGCUGAGUUAUUUAGUAUACGGAGGGAAAGGUAACCAGUUUGGUGACUAGGGAAGAUCUAUAGGAAGUCUUUGCCAGAAUAAAAGCUUAAAGGAAGUUUGUGAAUUGUGUGAUUAUGCAAGGAGUUUCAUCCAUAUGUGUACAGCUCUCUUUUUUAAAAAGAGAGAGGUUUUAAUCUAAUCAAAGAUUGGAUGACAUUACAGGAAUUUUGACUGUAGAGAGAGCUUAUGUUACUGAGCAGCUUUGUUAGCUUUCACUGCCUGGAAGUUUCCUCACUUCUAAGACCAGUCACACACUGGGAAGGGUGACUUCUAUGACUGCCAGUCAUCUCUUACAUGGACUAAUGAUUCAAUUCCAAUUUCUAAAGGAGUCAGAGCAGUCCGCAGUCUCCCUUGUCUGCGAGUCAAAAAUACGUGCUAGGUUUUCAGCUGAAUCAUAAAAUUCAUCAUGAAUUUUGAUAACAUUUUAGGAUGACUUUGUGCUGCUUUUAUGAGCUCUAAAAGCUGUAUUAUAAGAAAAUACAUAAUGAAGGAAGAAUUGUAUUUAUUGUAUUUAGUUCCUGAUAAAUCAAUGUUCGAAAAGAAAAGAAAGAAGAGAAAAGAAGAGAAGAGAAGAGAAGAGAAGAGAAGAGAAGAGAAGAGAAGAGAAGAGAAGAGAAGAGAAGAGAAGAGAAGAGAAGAAAAGAAAAGAAAAGAAAAGAAAAGAAAAGAAAAGAAAAGAAAAGAAAAGAAAAGAAAAGAAAAGAAAAGAAAAGAAAUAAUAUAUUGCGAAUGAGGACUCUCAGACAAUACUGUCAAGUCAGAUAAUCAGCUGAGAGGUCAGAGUGCCUUGAGCUGAAUGGUGUCAGAGAUGCGGUGGAAGGUGCUUUGGGCUUGAUACAUCAUCUCUCUUCAGCCUCCCCAAGAAUUUUAAACAGGAAGGGCAAAAGAUGUUUCCAGGAUGAAUUCAUUCAUUCAUAUACAAAUACCCUAAGUCACAAAAAAGGUGUCUUAGCAACAACAGCAGUGCAAUAACGUUGAGUACACCAGGUCCUCAGUUGUACGCCACUCCCAACCAAACAACAAAACAAAACAGACAGAAACAACAACAACAACAACAAAAUGAACUUGAAAGAAGAAAUGGUCUGGUUGGGCUCUGGUAAUCCAUAUUUUAAAAAUUACAAGUGUCACAGGUAAUUUGAAGGCAGAUCAGGCAUCUUCUAAAUCAAAAUGUGUGGACCUCACUAGAAAAUACUACCAACAGUUAACAGUUAUAAAGGUAAAUAGGAACAAUUUCCAAUAGUUUAUUUUCAAAAGCAGUUAGUUGUUAACCCUAUUAAAAGUAAGUUAUGAUUUUCAAAAUGUCACGUCUUGUUUUUGUUUGCUUCAGCUUACAUAGAUGUUAUCUUCAUAAUAUGAUGACUGCUCUUUAAUAUUGACCAAUUGUCAUUGCACUUCACUGGCAAAAAAAAGAAAAAAAAAUCACAGGGUGUUAAGAUGAUUAAUGUAACUGUCAGGAAAAAUGUUAAUAAAUUUAUCUUAUCUACCUCAUAUACAAAGACAUAAUAUAUAUCAGGGUUUAUAUGCUUCAUUCACUUUGCAAAGCACAGCCUCUGACUUAAGUAAAUGUAUGCUAAAUUAUGAAUGUGAAAAGAAACAGAAAGAGGAAAAAGCAAGCUAUUAUUUUUUUUUUUAAUUUUAAAUCAGUCUUCAGAAACAAAUCUUUUUACCAUAUGUUUACACAAAACAUAGUCCUCACCCUGAUUUGAAGUUUUGAACAGCGCAGAGUUAUUAAUUAAAUUUUUAAUAAUUAAAAACAGUUUCUGUGAAAAGAAAAUCCAUGGAUCAAAAUAGAGAGAGAGGUGAUAUUGCAAUAUCCUGUGAGCAAACCUAGGCUUUGUGCCUUUUCCCCAUUGAUUAGAAUAAACUUUCAGCACAACCCUGGUUUGUUCCUUAGACAAGGAGCGUGGGUACCAGGCAGCUGUGUGGAAUCACUGCUGACCAGACUUUGCCUGUUGGAGCCUGUCCUCAGCAAUGUGUUCUGGGAGGCAACAUUUCUCUUAUUCACUGUGUAUAAUGCAAAAGGAGGACUCACUAGCUGUAUCAAGAAAAUAUACAGCACAUUUCAUUUCAAUUUUUUUUUUCACAAUAUUUUCAACUAAGAAGGGAACAUUAACAGAACAGAAAUGUCUUUAGGUUCAACAUCAUGUGGCAUACCUUCCCUCAGUCUUUUCCUAAGCACUUGGAGUUGGGCAUAUAUAACAAACAUAUUCUUGGUCCUCUUUCAGCAGACCUAAUGUGUCAAUAUGUAGAUAAGAUGAUAGGUGCAAUUUGGAACAGUGACAUUUUUGUUUUCCUUCUUUUUCCCCAGUGACUAAUUCACCCAGACAUUGCAACUGGUUAGUGACCAGAAGAGUUGAGUAACUCUGGUUGUACAUUUCAUAUAGUUUUAAUGGUUUUAGCCUCCUAGAUGUAUGUAUAAAACUCUGAAGAAUUUAUCCAGAUCAUACUUUGAAAGCAGCUUUUCUUCUCUGGUGCUUUGAAUGUUGUUGAUAGUGUGGAACACUUCUGAGCACUUGUUUGAGUGCUGUGCUGGAGCUUUCUGUUUCCAGUAAAAAACUGAUGGAGAUCAACACUUUUUUGACACUCCUUGUACCAAGUGCUUAUAAAGUGUUUAUAUCUAUAAUUGUGUCAAAUUAUGCUAAUUAAGUGCUGAAAGACACUAGUAAGUUGAAGUACUCAAAAAGUGCAUUACUCUGAGUGUCACCCGGGGGCUCUUCACAGCAGACACUUGGGGGACAAUUUUUUUCUUUCCAAGCACCUUUAGAGCACUUUGUAUUAAAGUGUCUUUCUGACAUUAAUUAAAUUAAAAAAGCAAGUGACAGUUAAGUGCACAUGAUUUACUCUAAUCUUUUGAAAUGCAAAUGUAUUUUAGACUAAAAUGCCCUUCCUUUUUUACAAUUCUCCGUUUUCCUCCUCCAUUGUCUCCCACACCUUUUUUUUAUUGAGUAAUCAGUUGCUAAAAACAGCUUUGAUAAAGGCUGGGAAUUAACUCAAUUAUGAAUGAUUAGGCAGAAAAAUUGAACGAUUCAAAGAUCAAAUAACAAUGAUAGGGUUUCUAAUAACCUUAUGAGAAAAGAUCAUUGCUUAGGGGUAAUGCUGUAGAGACCUGUGCUGCUCUCAGAUUUUUGUCUACCCCGUCUCCAGGGUUACUCAUUAAUUCUAUGCUGAAGAAUUCUAGGGCAGCUGCAGAAGACAAGAGAUAUGAUUUUCUUCCAGUGAACAAAGGAGAUGUUCGUCAUUAGCCAUACACUGGUUACGCACUAAUGAGUUCUCAAAUACUAAGUGGUUUGGCCAAGGUGGUCUAGUAAAAUGGAAACUUAUGUCACACAUUAGAUGAUUGAACUCUGCUGUUCUAAGAUGGAAAACCUUUGUAUAGCACUACAGGUAUUUAGAAUGAGAAUACAUUUAAAACAAAAACAAAAACAAAACAAAACAAAAAAAAAAACACCCUUUGUUUCCAAAGAAAAACUCAGAGACAGCAGUGCAAGGACACCAAAAUUUAAUACAUGCCUUCCCGAAGAGUGAAAAUAGAAUAAAAUCUGAAGUCUGAUAAAAAAAUAAACAGGCACUUUUAGGAGUGUUAUUAGUGAAUAUCCUACUUCAAGGGUUAUUCUGUUUCAUGAUAAAAUAUUUUUGUAGGUGUGCAGAUAACAAUCCUUAUGUUACCUAAUUCUGACUAGACUCUAUUAAAAUGAUUUUUUCACUUUUCUGAGAAACUGUAUUUAAUCCCUAUGUCAAUGUGCUGAGAAAGAUAGUAAAGAUAUAUCUGAACUUUAAACAUCUUUAAUCUUUCUCUUUAGCUUUCAUUCUUGUUGCACAGUCUCAGCAAUCAGAUUUCAACACUCCAUUCCUCAGAAAAACUUACAGAUUUAGAAACCAUAGGGAGAUAAGAUUCUCCUUUGACCCAAAGACACAUUCUGCUAUCUUACAUCUUUGGAAAGUCUUUUAAGUAGUGAUGUCUAUUGAAAUUUUCUAAAUAGAUAGAAUUUUAUUUGGUAAUGACUAGAUCGUUAUCAGGCAGGUGACAGGAGUCCACGGGGGAAUAGAGGUGAGUUGCUCCAGGUAAAGAGACAUCCCAGACAGUCCUCACUAGAAGCAUUAUCUAAAAGGUCCUUCGUAGCCUGGAGUUAGUAAACUGAAUUGUUCUUCACGUCAUUCUCCUGGGAAGGAUGUCGAUCUCACAAGUGUCGCUCUCAAUGCAGCAGGAGUGAAGAAGCCAAGAACUCAGUAAACACUGAGCUUGUUUUGCCAGUUAAAGUAAGUUAGUUUUCAUAAGGAUGAAAAAGUGCCUCCAGAGACAACACAUUGCUGAGAAGAAUUAGACGACCAAAGCUGCAGAAGGGACUGCAUCUUUGGGGACACCCCAGAAGUCCAGCACCACAAAAGUCCCUCACAAUACACAUAGAAAUACUGAGGCCAAGAUGGUGCAAGGCAGAGAUGACAUUUCAGUACAAGAAAUCAGCAAGCAGGAGAGAUCUGAGCCAGCAGUGAAGUCUGCAGUGCUGAAACCAUCAGGAGCAUGAACAGCCUGGCUUCAGUUUCUGUCCAUUGUUGACAUAGAAUCCACAUCGCCUGGUGGCCAGGAUGUUAACUGGAUACAGAAACUGGAAGCAGAAUUCCUUUCCCCCAGGACACUGGAAUGGAUGUUGUGACUAUGAUACCUCGUUACAUGGUUUUAACGUCGCUGCAUUAGACAGCCAUAAUGUGGUAAACUGGGUGUAGG
Molecule: long non-coding RNA, 9372 nt
Filed under: Gallus gallus (chicken)
Lineage: Eukaryota; Metazoa; Chordata; Aves; Galliformes; Phasianidae
Source: RNAcentral